This 199-nucleotide non-coding RNA is filed under the name uncultured eukaryote. The record is from RNAcentral.
AACUACACAAAAAUAUGAUAGAAAAACACAAAAUCAAACAAAAACUCCCUUUUUUUCUUUUUUUCUUUUUUUCGCAACACAAGCUUUGUGUUUAAAAAAAAAUCGCACAACAUGAAAACACGCGGCGUUCUACUGCCUCGUCCUUUUUAUUCACUCAUUUGCGUGUGUGUGUGUAAUCUUUUUUUUCCUUCUACUCUGU